GAUGAACGCUGACAGAAUGCUUAACACAUGCAAGUCUUUGGCGAAGCUGUGCUUGCACCGCCUAGCCAAGGCGGACGGGUGAGUAACGCGUAAGGAACUUGCCCUGCAGUCAGGGAUAACAGACGGAAACGACUGAUAAGACCUGGUAAAGUCAGGCGGACUCAUGUCCAGCCUGAUGAAAAGAGAUGCUGCAGGAGAGCCUUGCGUCCUAUUAGCUUGUUGGUGGGGUAACGGCCCACCAAGGCGAUGAUAGGUAGCCGGCCUGAGAGGGUGGACGGCCACAAGGGGACUGAGAUACGGCCCUUACUCCUACGGGAGGCAGCAGUGGGGAAUAUUGGACAAUGGGGGCAACCCCGAUCCAGCAAUUCUGUGUGCACGAUGAAGGUUUUCGGAUUGUAAAGUGCUUUCAGCAGGGAAGAAAAAAAUGACGGUACCUGCAGAAGAAGCGACGGCUAAAUACGUG
RNAcentral lists this ribosomal RNA (463 nucleotides) under uncultured bacterium. Its description in RNAcentral is "partial 16S ribosomal RNA". It matches the Rfam family "Bacterial small subunit ribosomal RNA", at positions 28 to 507 of the family's 1533-position model. The record is from RNAcentral.